RNAcentral lists this transfer RNA (85 nucleotides) under hydrothermal vent metagenome. RNAcentral's name for it is "tRNA-Leu-TAA". It matches the Rfam family "tRNA". Rfam says of the family: Transfer RNA (tRNA) molecules are approximately 80 nucleotides in length. The record is from RNAcentral.
GCCCGGGUGGCGAAAUUGGUAGACGCAAGGGACUUAAAAUCCCUCGCCCGUUUUGGGCGUGCCGGUUCAAGUCCGGCCUCGGGCA